This 880-nucleotide ribosomal RNA is filed under the name uncultured bacterium. Its description in RNAcentral is "bacterial SSU rRNA". It matches the Rfam family "Bacterial small subunit ribosomal RNA", at positions 33 to 906 of the family's 1533-position model. The record is from RNAcentral.
ACGCUGGCGGCGUGUCUUAAGCAUGCAAGUCGUGCGGCAAGGCGGGGCAACCCGCCCUAGAGCGGCGGACUGGUGAGUAACGCGUGGGUGAUCUGCCCUUGGGACGGGGAUAGCCAUUAGAAAUAGUGGGUAAUACCGAAUACGUUCAUCCGGUUACGGCCGGAUGAGGAAAAGCGCUUCGGCGCUGCCCGAGGAUGAGCCCGCGUCCCAUUAGCUAGUUGGUGAGGUAAAGGCCCACCAAGGCGAUGAUGGGUAGCCGGCCUGAGAGGGUGUACGGCCACACUGGGACUGAGAUACGGCCCAGACUCCUACGGGAGGCAGCAGCUAAGAAUAUUCCGCAAUGGACGAAAGUCUGGCGGAGCGACGCCGCGUGGAUGACGAAGGCCGAAAGGUUGUAAAGUCCUUUUGUUGGGGAAGAAUAACCAUGGGAGGGAAUGCCCGUGGGAUGACAUGAACCGACGAAUAAGCCCCGGCUAACUACGUGCCAGCAGCCGCGGUAACACGUAGGGGGCGAGCGUUGUUCGGAAUUACUGGGCGUAAAGGGCAUGUAGGCGGCUCUGUAAGCCCGGCGUGGAAGCCCACGGCUCAACCGUGGGAUUGCGUCGGGAACUGCAGGGCUUGAAUCAUGGAGAGGGAGCUAGAAUUCCUGGUGUAGGGGUGAAAUCUGUAGAGAUCAGGAAGAAUACCAGUGGCGAAGGCGAGCUCCUGGCCAAUGAUUGACGCUGAGGUGCGAAAGUGUGGGGAUCAAACAGGAUUAGAUACCCUGGUAGUCCACACUGUAAACGAUGUGCACUAGGUGCUGGGGCGGAUGCUUCAGUGCCGGAGCUAACGCGGUAAGUGCACCGCCUGGGGAGUAUGCUCGCGAGGGUGAAACUCAAAU